RNAcentral lists this ribosomal RNA (784 nucleotides) under uncultured bacterium. RNAcentral's name for it is "bacterial SSU rRNA". It matches the Rfam family "Bacterial small subunit ribosomal RNA", at positions 8 to 796 of the family's 1533-position model. The record is from RNAcentral.
AGAGUUUGAUCCUGGCUCAGGACGAACGCUGGCGGCGUGCUUAACACAUGCAAGUCGAACGGAAAGGUCUCUUCGGAGAUACUCGAGUGGCGAACGGGUGAGUAACACGUGGGUGAUCUGCCCUGCACUUCGGGAUAAGCUUGGGAAACUGGGUCUAAUACCGGAUAGGACCACAGGAUGCAUGUUUUGUGGUGGAAAGCGUUUAGUGGUGUGGGAUGGGCCCGCGGCCUAUCAGCUUGUUGGUGGGGUGAUGGCCUACCAAGGCAACGACGGGUAGCCGGCCUGAGAGGGUGUCCGGUCACACUGGGACUGAGAUACGGCCCAGACUCCUACGGGAGGCAGCAGUGGGGAAUAUUGCACAAUGGGCGCAAGCCUGAUGCAGCGACGCCGCGUGGGGGAUGACGGCCUUCGGGUUGUAAACCUCUUUCACCAUCGGCGAAGCUUCCGGUUUCGGGGGUGACGGUAGGUGGAGAAGAAGCACCGGCCAACUACGUGCCAGCAGCCGCGGUAAUACGUAGGGUGCGAGCGUUGUCCGGAAUUACUGGGCGUAAAGAGCUCGUAGGUGGUUUGUCGCGUUGUUCGUGAAAUUCCCUGGCUUAACUGGGGGCGUGCGGGCGAUACGGGCAGACUGGAGUACUGCAGGGGAGACUGGAAUUCCUGGUGUAGCGGUGGAAUGCGCAGAUAUCAGGAGGAACACCGGUGGCGAAGGCGGGUCUCUGGGCAGUAACUGACGCUGAGGAGCGAAAGCGUGGGGAGCGAACAGGAUUAGAUACCCCGGUAGUCC